UGGGGAAUAUUGGACAAUGGGCGAAAGCCUGAUCCAGCCAUGCCGCGUGUGUGAAGAAGGUCUUCGGAUUGUAAAGCACUUUAAGUUGGGAGGAAGGGCAGUAAGCGAAUACCUUGCUGUUUUGACGUUACCGACAGAAUAAGCACCGGCUAACUCUGUGCCAGCAGCCGCGGUAAUACAGAGGGUGCAAGCGUUAAUCGGAAUUACUGGGCGUAAAGCGCGCGUAGGUGGUUCGUUAAGUUGAAUGUGAAAGCCCCGGGCUCAACCUGGGAACUGCAACCAAAAAUGGCGAGCUAGAGUAGGGCAGAGGGUGGUGGAAUUUCCUGUGUAGCGGUGAAAUGCGUAGAUAUAGGAAGGAACACCAGUGGCGAAGGCGACCACCUGGGAUCAAACUGACACUGGGGUGCGAAAGCGUGGGGAGCAAACAGG
Molecule: ribosomal RNA, 429 nt
Filed under: Pseudomonadota bacterium
Lineage: Bacteria; Pseudomonadati; Pseudomonadota
Description: Proteobacteria bacterium partial 16S ribosomal RNA
Rfam family: Bacterial small subunit ribosomal RNA
Source: RNAcentral